RNAcentral lists this ribosomal RNA (405 nucleotides) under Triticum aestivum (bread wheat). RNAcentral describes it as "partial small subunit ribosomal RNA". The record is from RNAcentral. Lineage: Eukaryota; Viridiplantae; Streptophyta; Magnoliopsida; Poales; Poaceae.
AUGAAGAAACAAAUAGAGGCUCACAAGACGUCCUAUAUUGCUGAAAUUGAUGUGGCUUUUCAUUCACUCCAUGAGGAUGAAGUCCGCACUACUCAAAUGUACAUGCUUCCGCUGGCUGAUAUUCUUCACAUGUGUCAGCCAUGGCCACCACCUAUGGAGCAAGUACACCAUCAAAGCAGCAGUGAUUCUCUAGUGACAGUACUUAUACCAACUGAUGUUCUUACUGUCAAUGUAGUUGUAGAGGAGCCAUACAAUUCACAGACUGCUCAUAUUAACUGUAAAAUCACACCUGUUGUUUUUCACAUGAGUCGUCCAUGGGCAUCGCAAUUGGAUUGCAAUUAUCAGCAGCCAGUUACUAGUGUCUCCAAAGUGCAACAUGUCAAAAGAAGGUUUCUCACGUGCUAG